RNAcentral lists this long non-coding RNA (917 nucleotides) under Pan troglodytes (chimpanzee). RNAcentral's name for it is "lincRNA". Lineage: Eukaryota; Metazoa; Chordata; Mammalia; Primates; Hominidae. The record is from RNAcentral.
ACAGGGGCGCGCGUGAGUUCCGGCGGCCUGCACCGGGCAAACCCGUACCUUCCCAGCAUAGGCUCAGCAACCCACGUGCAUCCAGGCCGGUUAAUGUCAUUGAGUCACUUCCGCGCCUUGGCCACCCUGGAGUCCCGAGAAUCCGAAGUUCCAGACAAAUGCCCAAACUACAUUCCUACAUGUUCGAAAGCGUAAAUUGCAAAGCACAAAUCCAGUUGUAGAUUGUGGCCGGGAGCAGUGGCUGACGCCUGUAAUCCCAGCACUUUGGGAGGCCGAGGCGGACGGAUCACGAGGUCAGCACUUCGAGACCAGCAUGGCCAACAUGGUGAAGCCCCAUCUCUACUAAAAAUACAAACAUUAGCCAGGCAUGGUGGCAGGCCCCUGUAAUCCCAGCUACUCGGUAGGCUGAGGCAGGAGAAUCACUUGAACCCGGGAGGCAGAGGUUUCAGUGAGCUGAGACUGCACCAUUGCACUCCAGCCUGGGCGACAGACCAAGACUCCAUCUCAAAAAAAAAAAAAAAAAAAAAAAGUUAUAGAUCGUAAGGAAAAUACCCCCAAGGAAGUUGAGGACACAGCAGAGUUGGACUGUCUCCAAACCUGUUCAUUCUUCUGAGUGCACUGCUCGGAGCAUCCUAUUGGGCAGCAUAUCCUGGCCUCCUUUCCAGUUCGAUGUGGUAAUAUACCUGAUUUCUGGCCAAUAAAAUAUGAGAGGACAUGAAAUUCAACAGCCCCUGGGCUUGGCUUAUAAAACCUUCCAUGCAAUCCUCCAAACCUUUUCACCUCUCAGCUGCUGAGACUUUUCUAGGCACUACACAGAAGCAGCCUGGGUCUCCAGUAGCAAAGGAGAGCAGAUCCUUCUCACUAUCCUGCACCGAACUGUGACAUGAGCAAAAAAUAAAGUUUUUAUUUUCUUACAC